UCGAGCGCUGUAGCAAUACAGAGCGGCAGACGGGUGAGUAACGCGUGGGAACAUACCCUUCGGUUCGGAAUAGCUCAGGGAAACUUGAAUUAAUACCGGAUACGCCCCCGGACUUGCUCCGGGGGGAAAGAUUUAUCGCCGAGGGAUUGGCCCGCGUUCGAUUAGCUAGUUGGUGAGGUAACGGCUCACCAAGGCGACGAUCGAUAGCUGGUCUGAGAGGAUGAUCAGCCACAUUGGGACUGAGACACGGCCCAAACUCCUACGGGAGGCAGCAGUGGGGAAUAUUGGACAAUGGGCGCAAGCCUGAUCCAGCCAUGCCGCGUGAGUGAUGACGGCCUUAGGGUUGUAAAGCUCUUUCGCUAGGGACGAUAAUGACGGUACCUAGACAAGAAGCCCCGGCUAACUUCGUGCCAGCAGCCGCGGUAAUACGAAGGGGGCUAGCGUUGUUCGGAAUUACUGGGCGUAAAGCGCGUGUAGGCGGGCUUUUAAGUCAGGGGUGAAAUGCCAAGGCUCAACCUUGGAACUGCCUUUGAUACUGGAAGUCUUGAGUCCGGGAGAGGUGAGUGGAACUGCGAGUGUAGAGGUGAAAUUCGUAGAUAUUCGCAAGAACACCAGUGGCGAAGGCGGCUCACUGGCCCGGAACUGACGCUGAGACGCGAAAGCGUGGGGAGCAAACAGGAUUAGAUACCCUGGUAGUCCACGCUGUAAACUAUGGAUGCUAGC
This 723-nucleotide ribosomal RNA is filed under the name uncultured Alphaproteobacteria bacterium. Its description in RNAcentral is "bacterial SSU rRNA". It matches the Rfam family "Bacterial small subunit ribosomal RNA", at positions 62 to 820 of the family's 1533-position model. The record is from RNAcentral. Lineage: Bacteria; Pseudomonadati; Pseudomonadota; Alphaproteobacteria.